GGGUUGUGAGGUUAAGCGACUAAGCGUACACGGUGGAUGCCCUGGCAGUCAGAGGCGAUGAAGGACGUGCUAAUCUGCGAUAAGCGCCGGUAAGGUGAUAUGAACCGUUAUAACCGGCGAUUUCCGAAUGGGGAAACCCAGUGUGACUCGUCACACUAUCAUUAACUGAAUCCAUAGGUUAAUGAGGCGAACCGGGGGAACUGAAACAUCUAAGUACCCCGAGGAAAAGAAAUCAACCGAGAUUCCCCCAGUAGCGGCGAGCGAACGGGGAGGAGCCCAGAGCCUGAAUCAGCAUGUGUGUUAGUGGAAGCGUCUGGAAAGGCGCGCGAUACAGGGUGACAGCCCCGUACACAAAAGCGCAUAUGCUGUGAGCUCGAUGAGUAGGGCGGGACACGUGGUAUCCUGUCUGAAUAUGGGGGGACCAUCCUCCAAGGCUAAAUACUCCUGACUGACCGAUAGUGAACCAGUACCGUGAGGGAAAGGCGAAAAGAACCCCGGCGAGGGGAGUGAAAAAGAACCUGAAACCGUGUACGUACAAGCAGUGGGAGCCCCACCACCAAAGCAUUCUCUGGUGUUGAAGGCCCUGCAAAGCAGCAUCGCGGUGGCGGAGCGUCGUUUGCGACGCCCAACGCACAAAACAAGCGGUGAGUGCUUUGGGGUGGGGUGACUGCGUACCUUUUGUAUAAUGGGUCAGCGACUUAUAUUCUGUAGCAAGGUUAACCGAAUAGGGGAGCCGGAGGGAAACCGAGUCUUAAUUGGGCGUUAAGUUGCAGGGUAUAGACCCGAAACCCGGUGAUCUAGCCAUGGGCAGGUUGAAGGUUGGGUAACACUAACUGGAGGACCGAACCGACUAAUGUUGAAAAAUUAGCGGAUGACCUGUGGCUGGGGGUGAAAGGCCAAUCAAACCGGGAGAUAGCUGGUUCUCCCCGAAAGCUAUUUAGGUAGCGCCUCGUGAAUUCAUCUCCGGGGGUAGAGCACUGUUUCGGCUAGGGGGCCAUCCCGGCUUACCAACCCGAUGCAAACUGCGAAUACCGGAGAAUGUUAUCACGGGAGACACACGGCGGGUGCUAACGUCCGUCGUGAAGAGGGAAACAACCCAGACCGCCAGCUAAGGUCCCAAAGUCAUGGUUAAGUGGGAAACGAUGUGGGAAGGCCCAGACAGCCAGGAUGUUGGCUUAGAAGCAGCCAUCAUUUAAAGAAAGCGUAAUAGCUCACUGGUCGAGUCGGCCUGCGCGGAAGAUGUAACGGGGCUAAACCAUGCACCGAAGCUGCGGCAGCGAACGUAUCACUUAAAGCGAUUCAGCGGGUUACGAUUGACGGAGCGAAGCGACGUCAAAGCGUAUACAAAGUCGAGUCGGUUUAAGGAUACGUUCGUUGGGUAGGGGAGCGUUCUGUAAGCCUGCGAAGGUGGCCUGUGAGGGUUGCUGGAGGUAUCAGAAGUGCGAAUGCUGACAUAAGUAACGAUAAAGCGGGUGAAAAGCCCGCUCGCCGGAAGACCAAGGGUUCCUGUCCAACGUUAAUCGGGGCAGGGUGAGUCGACCCCUAAGGCGAGGCCGAAAGGCGUAGUCGAUGGGAAACGGGUUAAUAUUCCCGUACUUGGUGUUACUGCGAAGGGGGGACGGAGAAGGCUAUGUUGGCCGGGCGACGGUUGUCCCGGUUUAAGCGUGUAGGUGUGUGUUCCAGGUAAAUCCGGUUCACUUUAACACUGAGGCGUGACGACGAGGCACUACGGUGCUGAAGCAACAAAUGCCCUGCUUCCAGGAAAAGCCUCUAAGCAUCAGGUAACAUCAAAUCGUACCCCAAACCGACACAGGUGGUCAGGUAGAGAAUACCAAGGCGCUUGAGAGAACUCGGGUGAAGGAACUAGGCAAAAUGGUGCCGUAACUUCGGGAGAAGGCACGCUGACACGUAGGUGAAGUGAUUUACUCAUGGAGCUGAAGUCAGUCGAAGAUACCAGCUGGCUGCAACUGUUUAUUAAAAACACAGCACUGUGCAAACACGAAAGUGGACGUAUACGGUGUGACGCCUGCCCGGUGCCGGAAGGUUAAUUGAUGGGGUCAGCGCAAGCGAAGCUCCUGAUCGAAGCCCCGGUAAACGGCGGCCGUAACUAUAACGGUCCUAAGGUAGCGAAAUUCCUUGUCGGGUAAGUUCCGACCUGCACGAAUGGCGUAAUGAUGGCCAGGCUGUCUCCACCCGAGACUCAGUGAAAUUGAACUCGCUGUGAAGAUGCAGUGUACCCGCGGCAAGACGGAAAGACCCCGUGAACCUUUACUAUAGCUUGACACUGAACAUUGAGCCUUGAUGUGUAGGAUAGGUGGGAGGCUUUGAAGCGUGGACGCCAGUCUGCGUGGAGCCGACCUUGAAAUACCACCCUUUAAUGUUUGAUGUUCUAACGUGGACCCGUGAUCCGGGUUGCGGACAGUGUCUGGUGGGUAGUUUGACUGGGGCGGUCUCCUCCUAAAGAGUAACGGAGGAGCACGAAGGUUGGCUAAUCCUGGUCGGACAUCAGGAGGUUAGUGCAAUGGCAUAAGCCAGCUUGACUGCGAGCGUGACGGCGCGAGCAGGUGCGAAAGCAGGUCAUAGUGAUCCGGUGGUUCUGAAUGGAAGGGCCAUCGCUCAACGGAUAAAAGGUACUCCGGGGAUAACAGGCUGAUACCGCCCAAGAGUUCAUAUCGACGGCGGUGUUUGGCACCUCGAUGUCGGCUCAUCACAUCCUGGGGCUGAAGUAGGUCCCAAGGGUAUGGCUGUUCGCCAUUUAAAGUGGUACGCGAGCUGGGUUUAGAACGUCGUGAGACAGUUCGGUCCCUAUCUGCCGUGGGCGCUGGAGAACUGAGGGGGGCUGCUCCUAGUACGAGAGGACCGGAGUGGACGCAUCACUGGUGUUCGGGUUGUCAUGCCAAUGGCACUGCCCGGUAGCUAAAUGCGGAAGAGAUAAGUGCUGAAAGCAUCUAAGCACGAAACUUGCCCCGAGAUGAGUUCUCCCUGAGACUUAGAGUCUCCUGAAGGAACGUUGAAGACGACGACGUUGAUAGGCCGGGUGUGUAAGCGCAGCGAUGCGUUGAGCUAACCGGUACUAAUGAACCGUGAGGCUUAACCUUACAACGCCGAAG
This 3110-nucleotide ribosomal RNA is filed under the name Salmonella enterica subsp. enterica serovar Sloterdijk str. ATCC 15791. RNAcentral's name for it is "bacterial LSU rRNA". It matches the Rfam family "Bacterial large subunit ribosomal RNA". Lineage: Bacteria; Pseudomonadati; Pseudomonadota; Gammaproteobacteria; Enterobacterales; Enterobacteriaceae. The record is from RNAcentral.